This 465-nucleotide ribosomal RNA is filed under the name uncultured bacterium. RNAcentral's name for it is "partial 16S ribosomal RNA". It matches the Rfam family "Bacterial small subunit ribosomal RNA", at positions 28 to 507 of the family's 1533-position model. The record is from RNAcentral.
GAUGAACGCUGGCGGCGUGCUUAACACAUGCAAGUCGAACGGAAAGGCUCCUGCUUGCAGGGGUACUCGAGUGGCGAACGGGUGAGUAACACGUGGGUGAUCUGCCCUGCACUUCGGGAUAAGCCUGGGAAACUGGGUCUAAUACCGGAUAGGACCACAUUUUGGAUGGUGUGGUGGAAAGUUUUUCGGUGUGGGAUGAGCUCGCGGCCUAUCAGCUUGUUGGUGGGGUAAUGGCCUACCAAGGCGUCGACGGGUAGCCGGCCUGAGAGGGUGUACGGCCACAUUGGGACUGAGAUACGGCCCAGACUCCUACGGGAGGCAGCAGUGGGGAAUAUUGCACAAUGGGCGCAAGCCUGAUGCAGCGACGCCGCGUGGGGGAUGACGGCCUUCGGGUUGUAAACUCCUUUCGCUAGGGACGAAGCGAAAGUGACGGUACCUGGAGAAGAAGCACCGGCUAACUACGUG